Molecule: long non-coding RNA, 199 nt
Filed under: Panax ginseng (ginseng)
Lineage: Eukaryota; Viridiplantae; Streptophyta; Magnoliopsida; Apiales; Araliaceae
Description: long non-coding RNA (PGIN_LNC005853)
Source: RNAcentral
UCCCACUUGCACUAAAGUCAAUCGUCAUGGUAUCUCAUACCUUUAUUCUCUAAGUUACGAUCAUCCUGCUACUGGAUAAGCUUCAGUAUAUGGAUAUGUAAUGUUGUUCUUGAGAGUCCACUAUCUCUAUAGUGAUUUUUAAUCUUUCAAUGAUUCCUCUAAUCAAAUGAAAGUGUUGCAACACAUUUUUAGAUCCAAG